RNAcentral lists this ribosomal RNA (465 nucleotides) under uncultured Klebsiella sp. Its description in RNAcentral is "bacterial SSU rRNA". It matches the Rfam family "Bacterial small subunit ribosomal RNA", at positions 338 to 795 of the family's 1533-position model. The record is from RNAcentral. Lineage: Bacteria; Pseudomonadati; Pseudomonadota; Gammaproteobacteria; Enterobacterales; Enterobacteriaceae.
CCUACGGGUGGCUGCAGUGGGGAAUAUUGCACAAUGGGCGCAAGCCUGAUGCAGCCAUGCCGCGUGUGUGAAGAAGGCCUUCGGGUUGUAAAGCACUUUCAGCGGGGAGGAAGGCGGUGAGGUUAAUAACCUCAUCGAUUGACGUUACCCGCAGAAGAAGCACCGGCUAACUCCGUGCCAGCAGCCGCGGUAAUACGGGGGGUGCAAGCGUUAAUCGGAAUUACUGGGCGUAAAGCGCACGCAGGCGGUCUGUCAAGUCGGAUGUGAAAUCCCCGGGCUCAACCUGGGAACUGCAUUCGAAACUGGCAGGCUAGAGUCUUGUAGAGGGGGGUGGAAUUCCAGGUGUAGCGGUGAAAUGCGUAGAGAUCUGGAGGAAUACCGGUGGCGAAGGCGGCCCCCUGGACAAAGACUGACGCUCAGGUGCGAAAGCGUGGGGAGCAAACAGGAUUAGAUACCCGGGUAGUC